Molecule: long non-coding RNA, 224 nt
Filed under: Dermacentor andersoni
Lineage: Eukaryota; Metazoa; Arthropoda; Arachnida; Ixodida; Ixodidae
Description: uncharacterized LOC126527938
Source: RNAcentral
CAUUCUGAGUGGUUGGAAGGCAUAAUUUCUUGGAAAAAUGGCCGCCAGAGGAGCAGCGUGAACUCGAGCGGCUUUAGAGACUAGGAAAACUGCUUUAAAAUAUUUUGACUUGAGGGAAAGCUUCGUUAACAAACUAUAACACGGCAAUCAGCACUCGAAUACGACGAGAGAAAUUAUUGAGACGUGGAAAAUUCCCUUGAAAUAAAUCUGGUUUGCGAGACAAA